UAAAGAGUGUGUAGGCGGUUUUCUAAGUUUGGUGUGAAAUCUCCCGGCUUAACUGGGAGGGUGCGCCGAAGACUGGAAGGCUUGAGUAUGGGAGAGGAAAGCGGAAUUCCUGGUGUAGCGGUGAAAUGCGUAGAUAUCAGGAGGAACACCUGUGGUGUAGACGGCUUUCUGGACCAUCACUGACGCUGAGACACGAAAGCGUGGGUAGCAAACAGGAUUAGAUACCUAGU
This 230-nucleotide ribosomal RNA is filed under the name uncultured bacterium. RNAcentral describes it as "partial 16S ribosomal RNA". It matches the Rfam family "Bacterial small subunit ribosomal RNA", at positions 561 to 791 of the family's 1533-position model. The record is from RNAcentral.